RNAcentral lists this ribosomal RNA (356 nucleotides) under uncultured bacterium. Its description in RNAcentral is "bacterial SSU rRNA". It matches the Rfam family "Bacterial small subunit ribosomal RNA", at positions 527 to 881 of the family's 1533-position model. The record is from RNAcentral.
GUAGGUCCCGAGCGUUGUCCGGAUUUAUUGGGUGUAAAGGGCGCGUAGGCGGACUGUCAAGUCAGUCGUGAAAUACCGGGGCUUAACCCCGGGGCUGCGAUUGAAACUGACAGCCUUGAGUAUCGGAGAGGAAAGCGGAAUUCCUAGUGUAGCGGUGAAAUGCGUAGAUAUUAGGAGGAACACCAGUGGCGAAGGCGGCUUUCUGGACGACAACUGACGCUGAGGCGCGAAAGUGUGGGGAGCAAACAGGAUUAGAUACCCUGGUAGUCCACACCGUAAACGAUGGAUACUAGGUGUAGGAGGUAUCGACCCCUUCUGUGCCGCAGUUAACACAAUAAGUAUCCCACCUGGGGAGU